This 253-nucleotide ribosomal RNA is filed under the name uncultured bacterium. Its description in RNAcentral is "partial 16S ribosomal RNA". It matches the Rfam family "Bacterial small subunit ribosomal RNA", at positions 524 to 776 of the family's 1533-position model. The record is from RNAcentral.
UACGGGGGGGGUAAGCGUUGUUCGGAAUUACUGGGCGUAAAGAGCUCGUAGGCGGUCUGUCGCGUCGGAUGUGAAAGCCCGGGGCUUAACCCCGGGUCUGCAUUCGAUACGGGCAGACUAGAGUGUGGUAGGGGAGAUCGGAAUUCCUGGUGUAGCGGUGAAAUGCGCAGAUAUCAGGAGGAACACCGGUGGCGAAGGCGGAUCUCUGGGCCAUUACUGACGCUGAGGAGCGAAAGCGUGGGGAGCGAACAGG